GUUGGGUAGGGGAGCGUUCUGUAAGCCUGCGAAGGUGUACUGUGAGGUAUGCUGGAGGUAUCAGAAGUGCGAAUGCUGACAUAAGUAACGAUAAUGCGGGUGAAAAACCCGCACGCCGGAAGACCAAGGGUUCCUGUCCAACGUUAAUCGGGGCAGGGUGAGUCGACCCCUAAGGCGAGGCUGAAAAGCGUAGUCGAUGGGAAACGGGUUAAUAUUCCCGUACUGGUGGUAACUGCGAUGGGGGAACGGAGAAGGCUAGGUUGUCCGGGCGACGGUCGUCCCGGUUCAAGCAGGUAGGCAGAGUGAUUAGGCAAAUCCGGUCACUUAAUGCUGAGAUGUGAUGACGAACCACCAAGGUGGUGAAGCAAUUGAUGCCCCGCUUCCAGGAAAAGCCUCUAAGCUUCAGGUUACCAACAAUCGUACCCCAAACCGACACAGGUGGUCAGGUAGAGAAUACUCAGGCGCUUGAGAGAACUCGGGUGAAGGAACUAGGCAAAAUGGUGCCGUAACUUCGGGAGAAGGCACGCUGGCGGUAGGUAAAGUCCCUCGCGGACGGCGCUGAAGCCAGUCGAAGAUACCAGCUGGCUGCAACUGUUUAUUAAAAACACAGCACUGUGCAAACACGAAAGUGGACGUAUACGGUGUGACGCCUGCCCGGUGCUGGAAGGUUAAUUGAUGGGGUUAGCGCAAGCGAAGCUCCUGAUCGAAGCCCCAGUAAACGGCGGCCGUAACUAUAACGGUCCUAAGGUAGCGAAAUUCCUUGUCGG
Molecule: ribosomal RNA, 767 nt
Filed under: Proteus mirabilis
Lineage: Bacteria; Pseudomonadati; Pseudomonadota; Gammaproteobacteria; Enterobacterales; Morganellaceae
Description: partial 23S ribosomal RNA
Rfam family: Bacterial large subunit ribosomal RNA
Source: RNAcentral